UCCGGUUUGGCACCGGCAGUCUUCCUAGAGUCCCCGCCAUUACGCGCUGGCAACUAAGAACAGGGGUUGCGCUCGUUGGGCUUUCACCCUUCUACUACCUGCAUGUCCAGCCUGGGUAAGGUUCUUCGCGUUGCGUCGAAUUAAACCACAUGCUCCACCGCUUGUGCGGGCCCCCGUCAAUUCCUUUGAGUUUCAACCUUGCGGCCGUACUUCCCAGGCGGAAUACUUAAUGCGUUAGCUGCGGCACCGGCGGUAACCCGCCGACACUUAGUAUUCAUAGUUUAAGGCGUGGACUAC
RNAcentral lists this unclassified non-coding RNA (297 nucleotides) under uncultured Nitrospiraceae bacterium. RNAcentral describes it as "contains 16S-23S intergenic spacer region". The record is from RNAcentral. Lineage: Bacteria; Pseudomonadati; Nitrospirota; Nitrospiria; Nitrospirales; Nitrospiraceae.